AACGAACGCUGGCGGCAUGCCUAACACAUGCAAGUCGAACGAGACCUUCGGGUCUAGUUGCGCACGGGUGCGUAACGCGUGGGAACCUUCCCUUAGGUUCGGAAUAACUCCCCUAAAGGGGUGCUAAUACCGGAUAAUUUCUUCUGACCACAGAUUUAUCGCCUUUGGAUGGGCCCGCGUUGGAUUAGCUUGUUGGUAGGGUAAAAGCCUAUCACGGCGACGCUCCAUAGCUGGUCUGAGAGGAUGAUCAGCCACACUGGGACUGAGACACGGCCCAGACUCCUACGGGAAGCAGCAGUGGGGAAUAUUGGACAAUGGGCGAAAGCCUGAUCCAGCAAUGCCGCGUGAGUGAUGAAGGCCUUAGAGUUGUAAAGCUCGUUUACCCGGGAUGAUAAUGACAGUACCGGGAGAAUAAGCUCCGGCUAACUCCGUG
RNAcentral lists this ribosomal RNA (433 nucleotides) under uncultured bacterium. RNAcentral describes it as "partial 16S ribosomal RNA". It matches the Rfam family "Bacterial small subunit ribosomal RNA", at positions 29 to 507 of the family's 1533-position model. The record is from RNAcentral.